RNAcentral lists this ribosomal RNA (790 nucleotides) under Clostridioides difficile. RNAcentral's name for it is "bacterial LSU rRNA". It matches the Rfam family "Bacterial large subunit ribosomal RNA", at positions 1112 to 1919 of the family's 2925-position model. The record is from RNAcentral. Lineage: Bacteria; Bacillati; Bacillota; Clostridia; Peptostreptococcales; Peptostreptococcaceae.
GCAGCCACUCAUUCAAAGAGUGCGUAAUAGCUCACUGGUCGAGUGAUCCUGCGCCGAAGAUUUCCGGGGCUAAAACUUACUACCGAAGCUACGGCAUCAGUAAUGAUGGGUAGGGGAGCUUCCCAUACGGGUUGAAGCAUGACCGUAAGGACAUGUGGACAGUAUGGGAGUGAGAAUGUUGGCAUGAGUAGCGAGAUGUGGGUGAGAAUCCCACAGGCCGUAAACCCAAGGUUUCCAGGGGAAGGUUCGUCCGCCCUGGGUUAGUCGGGACCUAAGCUGAGGCCGAAAGGCGUAGGUGAUGGACAACAGGUUGAUAUUCCUGUACUACCGAUAACCGUUUGAGAGAAGGGAUGACACAGUAGGAUAAGCUAAGCACACUGUUGGUUAUGUGUGCCCAAGCAUUGAGGCAGUCAAAGUAGGCAAAUCCGCUUUGAUAAUGCUAGGAUGUGAUGGGGAGCGAAAUUUAGUAGCGAAGUAGCUGAUUUCACACUGUCAAGAAAAGUCUCUAUCGAGGUUAAAGGUACCCGUACCGCAAACCGACACAGGUGGGUGAGGAGAGUAUCCUAAGGCCAGCGAGAGAACUGUUGUUAAGGAACUCGGCAAAAUGACCCCGUAACUUAGGGAUAAGGGGUGCCACCAUCAGGUGGCCGCAGAGAAUAGGCCCAAGCGACUGUUUACCAAAAACAUAGGUUUCUGCUAAGUCGCAAGACGAUGUAUAGGAGCUGACGCCUGCCCGGUGCUGGAAGGUUAAGGGGAUCUGUUAGAGCAAUCGAAGCAGUGAACUUAAGCC